Xylariaceae sp. AK1471 is the source of this 97-nucleotide non-coding RNA. The record is from the annotation of a GenBank genome assembly. Lineage: Eukaryota; Fungi; Ascomycota; Sordariomycetes; Xylariales; Xylariaceae.
GCCCUCUUGGCUAAGUGGUAUAGCGUGUCACUAGUAGUUCCUCUGGAUAUUUCUACGUGCCAUGACAAGAUCAGUGGUUCGAUUCCGCUAGUGGGCA